AGAGUUUGAUCCUGGCUCAGAACGAACGCUGGCGGCGUGGAUAAGACAUGCAAGUCGAGCGGGAUUUUUUCUUGUAGCAAUACAGGGAAAAGUCUAGCGGCGAACGGGUGCUUAACACGUGGGCAACCUGCCAAGAAGUGGGGGAUAGCUCGCCGAAAGGCGAAUUAAUACCGCAUGUGAUCAGAGUGGACAUCCAUUCAAAAUCAAAGUCGGGGCAACCUGACGCUUCUUGAGGGGCCCGCGGCCUAUCAGCUAGUUGGUGGGGUAACGGCCCACCAAGGCUUAGACGGGUAGCUGGUCUGAGAGGACGACCAGCCACACUGGGACUGAGACACGGCCCAGACACCUACGGGUGGCAGCAGUCGAGAAUUUUUCUCAAUGGGGGAAACCCUGAAGGAGCGACGCCGCGUGGAGGAUGAAGGUCUUCGGAUUGUAAACUCCUGUCAUUGGGGAACAAUGCGCAAAUAUUAACUGUAUUUGCGUGA
This 485-nucleotide ribosomal RNA is filed under the name uncultured soil bacterium. RNAcentral's name for it is "bacterial SSU rRNA". It matches the Rfam family "Bacterial small subunit ribosomal RNA", at positions 8 to 476 of the family's 1533-position model. The record is from RNAcentral.